ACAAGGGCGGCGCCAUUUCGCUCAUUUUGUCAACGUUCUUCCGGCCGCAUAGACGAUGAGCAGCUGAGGCAGUGACUGAAGGCGACACGUUAAGCUUAAAAAGCUCACUCGAGCGCCUUUAUGUUUCUUUCUUACCAAUUUUAAGCCAGCUGAGAAACACCCAUAUCCCAAGAAUGGUUCGACUACGAUGUUCUGGUAACUUUAAACCACGCCGGGUGUUGAAAAGGUGGCCAGAUUCAGAUGCAUUGAUGUGUAGUGAUGCAGUGGACAACUGUGAGGAUGAUACAAUCAACAUGUUCCUAAACUGUGAUGCAGAAACACAAUGGGAGGAUCCGUCGUCUCUGACCACAACUACACUUUAAAAUCACAACUCAACCUGAAGCAACCUACAUCUGAUAUGGGAAAACAAUGGUGCGGUUUCCCAGACAGGGCUUAUCCUGGUCCCAGGCUAAAAUGCAUAUUUGAGCUACAAUAAUUUAAAAACACCUUUUACUGACAUACAUCAACAUAUAUGAGUGCCAUUGUUUUGUCACAAGAUGCGCACCAGUCUUGUUUUUUUGUAGGGUUUCUUUGUAAAAACUAAAAUGUCCUAAUAUAAUUAAAUUCUAGUCCUGUAAACCCUGUCCGAGAAACUGCUUCAAUGUGUUGAGCUGGCACAAAUGUACAUAUCUCUGCUGAGAAACAACCAUCUUUGUGUCAGCUUUACAGAGGGUUGAUAUUGCAUCCAUUACACAGUCACCAAGCACUUUACCAGUACAUACACCAACAGCUUCCAGAUAAACACUUGGGAUCAGCUCCUGAUGACUCAGAUAAAGCUGUGUCUUAAUUUAUUGCAGGGUGGUCUUGCUUUACCUGUUGUAAAGUUACAUUAAACCUUCAUAUGUGAUCAGAUGUCAUGCAGUGAUAUUAAACAUUUACAGUGUGAUCAGAUGUUGUGCAUUUAUAUUAAACCUUUACAAUGUGAUCAGAUGUUGUGCAUUUAUAUUAAACCUUUACAAUGUGAUCAGAUGUUGUGCAAUUAUAUUAAACCUUUACAAUGUGAUCAGAUGUUGUGCAUUUACUGUAUAUUAAACCUUUACAAUGUGAUCAGAUGUUGUGCAUUUAUAUUAAACCUUUACAAUGUGA
Molecule: non-coding RNA, 1125 nt
Organism: Misgurnus anguillicaudatus (oriental weatherfish)
Lineage: Eukaryota; Metazoa; Chordata; Actinopteri; Cypriniformes; Cobitidae
Source: RefSeq, a predicted model, not a curated record